UAUUAACUCCAUGUCCUAUAUAUAUGAGUUGUGCUAAAAUACUAUCGGUAGUAAACGAGUCGUUUUACUAUCGAUUUGUUUUCGAUGAUAGAACUUUCAAAUUGACGAUCGGCUCCGUUGAAUAUAAUCUAUACCACUUGAAGUGUUUAGAAAUUAAAUUUCAAAUCUUUUCGACAUCAUUCGCCUAAUGAUCAAAGAGUUUCAAAAUUUGUAAUUUUAAUGGUCGAUAAGAGGCGUUUUCUCGUUUAACGGCGUAAAGAUAUCCAAAUCAAUUGAAUUUUUGUUAGAAAAUUCUUUAAACUAUUUAAAACAAGAUCUAUACUCUUGAUCUUGAUUACAAGACUCCUAUCAUCAUUUUUUAAAAAGUAUUUAUUUUCAACCAUUCAUUUUUCUGUUCACUUG
Molecule: long non-coding RNA, 402 nt
Filed under: Ananas comosus (pineapple)
Lineage: Eukaryota; Viridiplantae; Streptophyta; Magnoliopsida; Poales; Bromeliaceae
Description: long non-coding RNA (ACOM_LNC004686)
Source: RNAcentral